UACGGAGGGAGCUAGCGUUGUUCGGAAUUACUGGGCGUAAAGAGUACGUAGGCGGUUAUUCAAGUCAGAGGUGAAAGCCUGGAGCUCAACUCCAGAACUGCCUUUGAAACUAGAUAACUUGAAUCACGGAGAGGUUAGUGGAAUUCCGAGUGUAGAGGUGAAAUUCGUAGAUAUUCGGAAGAACACCAGUGGCGAAGGCGACUAACUGGACGUGUAUUGACGCUGAGGUACGAAAGCGUGGGGAGCAAACAGGAUUAGAUACCCUGGUAGUCCACGCCGUAAACGAUGAUAACUAGUUGUUCGGGCUCUCAGAGCCUGAGUGACGCAGCUAACGCAUUAAGUUAUCCGCCUGGGGAGUACGGUCGCAAGAUUAAA
RNAcentral lists this ribosomal RNA (375 nucleotides) under uncultured bacterium. Its description in RNAcentral is "bacterial SSU rRNA". It matches the Rfam family "Bacterial small subunit ribosomal RNA", at positions 524 to 898 of the family's 1533-position model. The record is from RNAcentral.